This 206-nucleotide non-coding RNA is filed under the name Serinicoccus chungangensis. The record is from RNAcentral. Lineage: Bacteria; Bacillati; Actinomycetota; Actinomycetes; Micrococcales; Ornithinimicrobiaceae.
GUCCGUGGGACUCCCGUGGGUCGUGGUCGUCGCAAGAGGGAACCCGGUGAGAACCCGGGACUGCCCCGCAGCGGUGAACGGGAACGACCGUCGCACUCAUGGCACUGCGCCCCCGGGCGUGGGAAGCCGCGACCAGUAGGUCCGUCCGGAGAACUCUCCGGACCUCGCCCGUGAGUCCGAAGACCUGCCAGUGCACGGACGGCCCG